GACGAACGCUGGCGGCGUGCUUAACACAUGCAAGUCGAACGGAAAGGCCCUGCUUUUGUGGGGUGCUCGAGUGGCGAACGGGUGAGUAACACGUGAGUAACCUGCCCUUGACUUUGGGAUAACUUCAGGAAACUGGGGCUAAUACCGGAUAGGAGCUCCUGCUGCAUGGUGGGGGUUGGAAAGUUUCGGCGGUUGGGGAUGGACUCGCGGCUUAUCAGCUUGUUGGUGGGGUAGUGGCUUACCAAGGCUUUGACGGGUAGCCAGCCUGAGAGGGUGACCGGCCACAUUGGGACUGAGAUACAGCCCAGACUCCUACGGGAGGCAGCAGUGGGGAAUAUUGCACAAUGGGCGGAAGCCUGAUGCAGCAACGCCGCGUGCGGGAUGACGGCCUUCGGGUUGUAAACCGCUUUCGCCUGUGACGAAGCGUGAGUGACGGUAAUGGGUAAAGAAGCACCGGCUAACUACGUG
This 468-nucleotide ribosomal RNA is filed under the name uncultured bacterium. RNAcentral's name for it is "partial 16S ribosomal RNA". It matches the Rfam family "Bacterial small subunit ribosomal RNA", at positions 28 to 507 of the family's 1533-position model. The record is from RNAcentral.